Molecule: ribosomal RNA, 252 nt
Filed under: uncultured bacterium
Lineage: Bacteria
Description: partial 16S ribosomal RNA
Rfam family: Bacterial small subunit ribosomal RNA
Source: RNAcentral
UACGUAGGGUGCGAGCGUUAAUCGGAAUUACUGGGCGUAAAGCGUGCGCAGGCGGUUCGUUAAGUCAGAUGUGAAAGCCCCGGGCUCAACCUGGGAACUGCAUUUGAAACUGGCGGGCUUGAGUGUGGCAGAGGGGGGUGGAAUUCCGCGUGUAGCAGUGAAAUGCGUAGAGAUGCGGAGGAACACCGAUGGCGAAGGCAGCCCCCUGGGCCAACACUGACGCUCAGGCACGAAAGCGUGGGAGCAAACAGG